Non-coding RNA from Acanthosepion pharaonis, 109 nucleotides. The record is from the annotation of a GenBank genome assembly. Lineage: Eukaryota; Metazoa; Mollusca; Cephalopoda; Sepiida; Sepiidae.
CUGCGACCACAUCAAGUUAAAACACUGAUUCCCGUACGAUCACCAAAGUUAAGCGACAUCAAGCCUGGUCAGUACCUAGAUGGGUGACCGCUUGGGAAUACCAAAUGCU